GUCUACGGCCAUACCACCCUGAACGCGCCCGAUCUCGUCUGAUCUCGGAAGCUAAAAUAACUAGACAAAGUUCCACUCCUAACCAAGAAGCUGUCUGCA
Molecule: ribosomal RNA, 99 nt
Filed under: Mesocricetus auratus (golden hamster)
Lineage: Eukaryota; Metazoa; Chordata; Mammalia; Rodentia; Cricetidae
Source: RNAcentral